This 240-nucleotide long non-coding RNA is filed under the name Ursus maritimus (polar bear). RNAcentral describes it as "WT1 antisense RNA conserved region 3 (ENSUMAG00000019509.1)". It matches the Rfam family "WT1 antisense RNA conserved region 3". Lineage: Eukaryota; Metazoa; Chordata; Mammalia; Carnivora; Ursidae. The record is from RNAcentral.
AAGGAGGAGCGCUGGGAACCCGCGUUGGAGUGCGUUUCGGGGCGCGUGGAAACGCCCAGGAGAGCCAGGGGCAGCGGCGACGGCGCAGCCUGGAACGGCCAGGAGCGCGGGCGGGCAGCGGCCGGUUGCCGCCAGGCCUCUUAUUCCAGGUUGGCGGCGGAAGGGCCCGCAGCUCUCCGGCAAGCCCUCGCGAAGCGCCAACCGAGGUCGUUGCAGCUUUACAAAGAAACGGAACGUUUG